RNAcentral lists this ribosomal RNA (1045 nucleotides) under Scolecoleotia eriocamporesi. RNAcentral describes it as "SSU rRNA". It matches the Rfam family "Eukaryotic small subunit ribosomal RNA", at positions 67 to 1123 of the family's 1831-position model. The record is from RNAcentral. Lineage: Eukaryota; Fungi; Ascomycota; Leotiomycetes; Leotiales.
AAGCAUAUGUACCGUGAAACUGCGAAUGGCUCAUUAUAUCAGUUAUAGUUUAUUUGAUAGUACCUUACUACUUGGAUAACCGUGGUAAUUCUAGAGCUAAUACAUGCUAAAAACCUCGACUUCGGAAGGGGUGUAUUUAUUAGAUAAAAAACCAAUGCCCUUCGGGGCUCCUUGGUGAUUCAUGAUAACUUAACGAAUCGCAUGGCCUUGUGCCGGCGAUGGUUCAUUCAAAUUUCUGCCCUAUCAACUUUCGAUGGUAGGAUAGUGGCCUACCAUGGUUUCAACGGGUAACGGGGAAUUAGGGUUCUAUUCCGGAGAGGGAGCCUGAGAAACGGCUACCACAUCCAAGGAAGGCAGCAGGCGCGCAAAUUACCCAAUCCCGACACGGGGAGGUAGUGACAAUAAAUACUGAUACAGGGCUCUUUUGGGUCUUGUAAUUGGAAUGAGUACAAUUUAAAUCCCUUAACGAGGAACAAUUGGAGGGCAAGUCUGGUGCCAGCAGCCGCGGUAAUUCCAGCUCCAAUAGCGUAUAUUAAAGUUGUUGCAGUUAAAAAGCUCGUAGUUGAACCUUGGGCCUGGCUGGCCGGUCCGCCUCACCGCGUGCACUGGUCCGGCCGGGCCUUUCCUUCUGGGGAGCCGCAUGCCCUUCACUGGGUGUGUCGGGGAACCAGGACUUUUACUUUGAAAAAAUUAGAGUGUUCAAAGCAGGCCUAUGCUCGAAUACAUUAGCAUGGAAUAAUAGAAUAGGACGUGUGGUUCUAUUUUGUUGGUUUCUAGGACCGCCGUAAUGAUUAAUAGGGAUAGUCGGGGGCAUCAGUAUUCCGUUGUCAGAGGUGAAAUUCUUGGAUUUACGGAAGACUAACUACUGCGAAAGCAUUUGCCAAGGAUGUUUUCAUUAAUCAGUGAACGAAAGUUAGGGGAUCGAAGACGAUCAGAUACCGUCGUAGUCUUAACCAUAAACUAUGCCGACUAGGGAUCGGGCGAUGUUAUCUUUUUGACUCGCUCGGCACCUUACGAGAAAUCAAAGUUUUGGGUUCUGGGGGAG